UCCGUUCAAAAAUUAUAGCAAUUUUAUUUUAGUGAAAAUAUCCCUUUCGGGAUCGUGGAUAUAGGUCUAUUUGAGAGACCGAACCACAUAAAAAUUUUUGUAUUAUUUUUUCUUUUUUAUUCUCUCUAUUAUUUGUGUGAGUGCUUUCACUGCUGGUCUCAACAAUGUGAAGGCAUUUAGGGCUUUAGAUUGCAGAAGCUCGAAAGAAAACAAUGGUUUUGAAUGUGCUACAUGCUUCUAUCUUCAGCAUCAACCAGAGGGUUCCAACAGAGUUGGGUAAUGCCAUGGUUAUAUCCCUGUAUCCAACAUCGUGCUCAUAAGAACACAGCAAAAGUAUCGGUAGAAUGGGC
RNAcentral lists this long non-coding RNA (350 nucleotides) under Elaeis guineensis (African oil palm). RNAcentral describes it as "long non-coding RNA (EGUI_LNC016341)". Lineage: Eukaryota; Viridiplantae; Streptophyta; Magnoliopsida; Arecales; Arecaceae. The record is from RNAcentral.